UGCGCCUUGCCAGCCCGCUCAGAAACUUAAAGGAAUUGACGGGGGCCCGGCACAAGCGGUGGAGCAUGUGGUUUAAUUCGAUGAUACGCGAGGAACCUUACCUGGGCUCAAAUGUAUGUUGACGUAUUCUGAAAGGGAUACUUCUUCGGACAAUAUACAAGGUGCUGCAUGGUUGUCGUCAGCUCGUGCCGUGAGGUGUCGGGUUAAGUCCCAUAACGAGCGCAACCCCUACCUUUAGUUGCCAUCAGGUAAUGCUGGGGACUCUAAAGGAACUGCCUACGCAAGUAGUGAGGAAGGCGGGGAUGACGUCAAAUCAGCACGGCCCUUACGUCCAGGGCUACACACGUGCUACAAUGGCCGAUACAGAGGGCAGCUACCUGGUGACAGGAUGCAAAUCUCCAAAGUCGGUCUCAGUUCGGAUCGGAGUCUGCAACCCGACUCCGUGAAGUCGGAAUCGCUAGUAAUCGUGAAUCAGAAUGUCACGGUGAAUACGUUCCCGGGCCUU
RNAcentral lists this ribosomal RNA (505 nucleotides) under uncultured Sphingobacteriales bacterium. RNAcentral describes it as "bacterial SSU rRNA". It matches the Rfam family "Bacterial small subunit ribosomal RNA", at positions 903 to 1382 of the family's 1533-position model. The record is from RNAcentral. Lineage: Bacteria; Pseudomonadati; Bacteroidota; Sphingobacteriia; Sphingobacteriales.